Molecule: long non-coding RNA, 1343 nt
Filed under: Homo sapiens (human)
Lineage: Eukaryota; Metazoa; Chordata; Mammalia; Primates; Hominidae
Description: HSALNT0384047
Source: RNAcentral
ACACAGAGCCCCAGGCCGGGGCCAGGGCCUCAUCAAAACCCAACAGGAGUGUUUCCUGCUGGCCAGCUCGCCUGAGCUCUGGUUCGGCGCCACCCCAGGGAACCCUCCCAGCAGCCAUCAAUUAGACAACGUUACCAUCUCUCAUAUACAGAGAAGGAAACGGCGGUGUUAAGAGGGCAAAGGUCACACAGCUAGGGAGCAGGGCUGAUGCCAGAGCUCCGCUAAAGGCUGCUCUCUCAACAAGAGGAACGAUUUAAGUCUUGGGGCACGCCCUGCCAGCUCACCUUCCUGCAGCCGCACCUGCCGCAGCCGUGGGGGCCCCAGCUCUGGGCUGGACUGGUUCCCGUGGACGUAGGGCAGCAGCACGUGGGCCAUCCAUGGCCAGAGCUCCUCAGACCUGCCACAGCAUCAGUCACACGCUCCAGCCCCUACUGCCCCAUGCCCGCCUCGAGUGAGCGGCCACCAGAGACCCAGGGAACAUGGCUCCCACUGCCCUGCUGGCCACGGCUAGACCUGGGCUUCUCAGCCUUAUCCUGGGGAUGUUCUGGGGCAGACAGUUGUCUGUCAUGGGCCCGUCCUGUGCACUGCAAGACACGGACCUGUGUCCCUCCCCUCUGCCUACUGAUGCCAGCAGCACCUACCUCCAGUUCUAGCAGCCACAAAGGUAUCUACACAUGUCCACAUGUCCCCUAGGGUCUGGCUGGACUAAAGGCAAAACUAAAGCCCAGAAGACAGACCAGUGCACCGGAUGCCCGUACCGCGUGAUGGCCAGGAAGGCCCGGCUGUGCAGCUCCUGCUUGAUGGCGCUUUGCAGACGGUAGGCGUGCCCAUGGCAUGAGGCAUCCCCAUAGCUGGCCAGCAGGGUCACCAGCAGAAAAAGCAUGUACACCAGGAGGCUCUGGUGGACGGGGGGGCCCUGUGGUCAGCCUGGCCCCAGCCCACAGUGACAGCAGGGCUUUGGCAACGGCUGGAGCCAUGGCUGCGGCAGGUGUGGCUGCAGGAAGUGUGUAGGGCUCCCUGAGGCCAGAGAUCUGCUUGUGUCUCCAGGAGCCAGUGACCACCGAGGCUGUGCCACUGCAUCGGGCCACCAUGCUGAUAUGCCCGGUCCCAGAGCUGCUAGAGAAGAGGUACAGAGGCAGCGAAGACACGUUGAGGGGGAGGACGAGACCAACUGCGAGACGCCGAGUCCCGGGCUCUCAGGACGCUCUCCCGUACCUGCGCCCUCGUCAGCCCAUCACCGAAAGAACGGCCUGACCCAGGGUCACACUGCACUGAAUGCUUCCUGUUUUGCUGUCUCUCGGAGGAUAAAAGACACUCUUGGCUGGGCGCAGUGUCUCAAGCCU